AUUGAACGCUGGCGGCAGGCCUAACACAUGCAAGUCGAACGAGUGGCGGACGGGUGAGUAAUGUCUGGGAAACUGCCUGAUGGAGGGGGAUAACUACUGGAAACGGUAGCUAAUACCGCAUACCCUCAGAUGUGCCCAGAUGGGAUUAGCUAGUAUGUGGGGUAACGGCUCACCAAGGCGACGAUCCCUAGCUGGUCUGAGAGGAUGACCAGCCACACUGGAACUGAGCUACGGUCCAGCCUCCUCCGGGAGGCAGCAGUGGGGAAUAUUGCACAAUGGGCGCAAGCCGGAUGCAGCCAUGCCGCGUGUAUGAAGAAGGCCGUCGGGUUGUAAAGUACUUUCAGCGGGGAGGCGUUACCCGCAGAAGAAGCACCGGCUAACUCCGUGCCAGCAGCCGCGGUAAUUC
Molecule: ribosomal RNA, 406 nt
Filed under: uncultured bacterium
Lineage: Bacteria
Description: partial 16S ribosomal RNA
Rfam family: Bacterial small subunit ribosomal RNA
Source: RNAcentral